This 463-nucleotide ribosomal RNA is filed under the name Vreelandella stevensii. RNAcentral's name for it is "partial 16S ribosomal RNA". It matches the Rfam family "Bacterial small subunit ribosomal RNA", at positions 338 to 795 of the family's 1533-position model. The record is from RNAcentral. Lineage: Bacteria; Pseudomonadati; Pseudomonadota; Gammaproteobacteria; Oceanospirillales; Halomonadaceae.
CCUACGGGAGGCAGCAGUGGGGAAUAUUGGACAAUGGGCGAAAGCCUGAUCCAGCCAUGCCGCGUGUGUGAAGAAGGCCUUCGGGUUGUAAAGCACUUUCAGUGGGGAAGAAAGCCUUGGGGCUAAUACCCUCGAGGAAGGACAUCACCCACAGAAGAAGCACCGGCUAACUCCGUGCCAGCAGCCGCGGUAAUACGGAGGGUGCGAGCGUUAAUCGGAAUUACUGGGCGUAAAGCGCGCGUAGGCGGUCUGAUAAGCCGGUUGUGAAAGCCCCGGGCUCAACCUGGGAACGGCAUCCGGAACUGUCAGGCUAGAGUGCAGGAGAGGAAGGUAGAAUUCCCGGUGUAGCGGUGAAAUGCGUAGAGAUCGGGAGGAAUACCAGUGGCGAAGGCGGCCUUCUGGACUGACACUGACGCUGAGGUGCGAAAGCGUGGGUAACAAACAGGAUUAGAUACCCGGUAUC